Molecule: non-coding RNA, 2017 nt
Organism: Microcebus murinus (gray mouse lemur)
Lineage: Eukaryota; Metazoa; Chordata; Mammalia; Primates; Cheirogaleidae
Source: RefSeq, a predicted model, not a curated record
GUGACUCCCCCCUGCUCAGCCCUGUGCAGAUAACAACUAUAAACUCUACAAAGUGUAAAAACAAACUACCUGAACACACUGGGGAGUGAACAUAAACAGGCAGGUGCUAAAUGGAUGUCACCACUUGGAAGGAAGGGACGAUACUGGAACCAUCUGCCAGCUGAAUAUGCCUAGACUGGCCUGUUGGAUGCAGAGAGACUCAUGGACCCACCAUUGCCCAGAUGGGGGCCAGCAAAGCAGAGCCCCUGCUCACUUGGCAGCAUGAGAAUGCCUCCUUAAGACCAGCAGAAGAACUGCCCAGCUGAUCCCAGCCUAAAUUGCUACCUCAUGAAUUGCGAAUGACACUGGGACAACCUUGAAGCCACAAGGUGGCAGAACUGCAAGACAGAAGCAGCUUGGGGCCCUGAGUCACUGCUUGCAGCAGAGCUACACAGCAGUGCCACCCAACCAGGAAUACUUGCGUUGAGCAAGAAAUAAAGGUUUAUUGUGUCAAGCACCUGAGAUUUGGGGAUUUAUUUAUGACAGAUAGCCUAGGCUACCAGACUAAUAUGAGCUAAUUAAGUUGGAGUUAGGUGUUACUUGCAGCCAAAAGCAUCUUGCCUAAAGCAUCAGAGAAGAAUCCAUUAAGUACAGAUCACCAUCUCAAAACUCGUUUUAUUUGUCUUUAUUCACAAAAAAGCAGCUAGCAUAACAGCAAUUCAAUCUAACAUCCAGGAGUUGCUUGCUUUCAACCUGAUGACUUACUUGGCUUUGCUGUUGCCUUUAGGGUGGCUUUGAUUUUAGACUCAUGAUUUAUUAAAUUCUCGGAUGCUGCCACUUGGUUUCUGGUUCCCAGUUCUCUCUCGGUCUUAGCUCUUUCUGAACUGAACUUGCGUGGAGCUUCUGUUCAAUAAACAUCCUGACUAAAUACCUAGAAGUAGCACGGCUGUCCCACUCCUACUGUCUGUAAGAGGGACUCUCAGCUGACCCUCUAUGGCUGAGUGUUCCCCAGUUCUAGAAGUGUCUUCAGGCACAGUUUCUAGUCAGCGUUUAUUUGGUAACUAGGAACAGAAACUCACUCAGCCUUGCUCAAGGAAAGGGAGGAUUGUUGAAGGAAUGCAGAUAAAUUGUCUCGGGGAUCUGAGAACGGCAACUUAGAUACACCUGGGCCUUGAGGAAACGGGACAGGGAAGCUAUUAGAAAACAAGGAAGCCACUCUCUUCCUCUCCCUUGUGAUGUUUGUGCUUUCCUCUGAACAGCUCCAAAUGCAUUCUCCUUCCUUCCUUCCUUCCUUCCUUCCUUCCUUCCUUCCUUCCUUCCUUCCUUCCUUCCUUCCUUCCUUCCUUCCUUCCGGUAUUUGAGCACUCACCAGGUGAAUAGCUCCAUAUCAGGCAUGGAGGAUACACUCAAAGACUUAUUUUCUUGGGGGGAAACCUAUAAAAAACAAGUGAAGAAAUCCACAAAAAUAAAAUAUUAUAAACUUUUGCACUAUUAAGGGAAUAAGUAUGGACUCUAAUAAAGAAUAACAGGUGAUCUAUCUAUUUCACAGAGCUAGCUAAGGAAGUCCUCUCUGAGGAGGUGAUGCAUCAGCUCAGACUUGAUUGGUGACAAGGGGCCAGCCAUAUAAAGAGUGAGAAGAUAUUUUAAGCAGUGGGAAUGGCAGGUGCAAAGGCCCUGGGACAGAAAUGUUUGGCUUGACCAAGGAACUGAAAAGGAAGGACAGCCUCACUGGAGUGCAGGUAUCGAGAUGAAAGUAGCAGGGAAUAAUAUUGAAUAGGUCAGCAUGCCUUAGAUAAUGCAAGCCCCUGGAGAUGCUAGCAAAAGUUUGGAUUUUAUUUAAGUACAAUGUGAAGCCUUUGCAGGGUGUUCCUCUCUUUACUGAAUCAUUUAAAAAUAAUAUCAGCUUGCAUUUGACCCACUGCUGCUGCCCUAGCCCCAUGGCUGGCUCCCUCAUAUCCUUUCGGCACUAGUACCUAUAGCCAGCUAGUGAUUGCCUUCUGUGUCUCUUACUUACAAAUCCCAGUAGAGGCCAGGCAUG